AUUGCAGAACACAUUGAACAUCGAUAUCUUGAACGCAAAUGGCGGCCUCGGGUCCAUCCCGAGGCCACGCCCGUCUGAGGGUCGGCU
RNAcentral lists this ribosomal RNA (87 nucleotides) under Elisolimax flavescens. RNAcentral's name for it is "partial 5.8S ribosomal RNA". It matches the Rfam family "5.8S ribosomal RNA", at positions 71 to 154 of the family's 154-position model. Rfam says of the family: 5.8S ribosomal RNA (5.8S rRNA) is a component of the large subunit of the eukaryotic ribosome. Lineage: Eukaryota; Metazoa; Mollusca; Gastropoda; Stylommatophora; Urocyclidae. The record is from RNAcentral.